RNAcentral lists this ribosomal RNA (406 nucleotides) under uncultured bacterium. Its description in RNAcentral is "partial 16S ribosomal RNA". It matches the Rfam family "Bacterial small subunit ribosomal RNA", at positions 30 to 526 of the family's 1533-position model. The record is from RNAcentral.
AUUGAACGUUGGCGGCAGGCCUAACACAUGCAAGUCGAACGAGUGGCGGACGGGUGAGUAAUGUCUGGGAAACUGCGCGAUGGAGGGGGAUAACUACUGGAAACGGUAGCUAAUACCGCAUACCAUCGGAUGUGCCCAGAUGGGAUUAGCUAGUAGGUGGGGUAACGGCUCACCUAGGCGACGAUCCCUAGCUGGUCUGAGAGGAUGACCAGCCACACUGGGACUGAGACACGGUCCAGACUCCUACGGUAGGCAGUAGUGGGGAAGAUUGCACAAUGGGCGCAAGCCUGAUGCAGCCAUGCCGCGUGUAUGAAGAAGACCUUCGGGUUGUAAAGUACUUUCAGCGAGGAGGCGUUACGCGCAGAAGAAGCAGCGGCUAACGCCGUGCCAGCAGCCGCGGUAAUUC